GGGCCGGUCGUCUAGUGGGAGGAUGCCACCUUCGCACGGUGGUGGUCCCGGGUUCGAAUCCCGGCCGGUCCACCA
This 75-nucleotide transfer RNA is filed under the name Thermofilum adornatum 1505. Its description in RNAcentral is "tRNA-Ala (CGC) (tRNA-Ala-CGC-1-1)". It matches the Rfam family "tRNA". Rfam says of the family: Transfer RNA (tRNA) molecules are approximately 80 nucleotides in length. Their secondary structure includes four short double-helical elements and three loops (D, anti-codon, and T loops). Further hydrogen bonds mediate the characteristic L-shaped molecular structure. tRNAs have two regions of fundamental functional importance: the anti-codon, which is responsible for specific mRNA codon recognition, and the 3' end, to which the tRNAs corresponding amino acid is attached (by aminoacyl-tRNA synthetases). tRNAs cope with the degeneracy of the genetic code in two manners: having more than one tRNA (with a specific anti-codon) for a particular amino acid; and 'wobble' base-pairing, i.e. permitting non-standard base-pairing at the 3rd anti-codon position. RNAcentral also lists the same sequence under 2 other names. Lineage: Archaea; Thermoproteati; Thermoproteota; Thermoprotei; Thermofilales; Thermofilaceae. The record is from RNAcentral.